CAUGCAAGUCGAACGAAGUAGCAAUACUUAGUGGCAGACGGGUGAGUAACAUGUAGGUAUCUGCCCUUUGGCCUGGAAUAACACGAGGAAACUUGUGCUAAUACCGGAUAAGUCUUCACGGAGAAAGCUUUAUGCACCAUUGGAUGAGCCUGCACUUGAUUAGUUUGUUGGUGGGGUAAUGGCCUACCAAGACUGUGAUCAAUAGCUGAUUUGAGAGGAUGAUCAGCCACAUUGGGACUGAGACACGGCCCAAACUCCUACGGGAGGCAGCAGUGGGGAAUCUUGCACAAUGGAGGAAACUCUGAUGCAGCGAUGCCGCGUGAGUGAAGAAGGCCCUUGGGUUGUAAAGCUCUUUCGUCGGGGAAGAAAAUGACUGUACCCGAAUAAGAAGGUCCGGCUAACUUCGUGCCAGCAGCCGCGGUAAUACGAAGGGACCUAGCGUAGUUCGGAAUUACUGGGCUUAAAGAGUUCGUAGGUGGUUGAAAAAGUUAGUGGUGAAAUCCCAGAGCUUAACUCUGGAACUGCCAUUAAAACUUUUCAGCUAGAGUAUGAUAGAGGAAAGCAGAAUUUCUAGUGUAGAGGUGAAAUUCGUAGAUAUUAGAAAGAAUACCAAUUGCGAAGGCAGCUUUCUGGAUCAUAACUGACACUGAGGAACGAAAGCAUGGGUAGCGAAGAGGAUUAGAUACCCUCGUAGUCCAUGCCGUAAACGAUGUGUGUUAGACGUUGGAAAUUUAUUUUCAGUGUCGCAGGGAAACCGAUAAACACACCGCCUGGGGAGUACGACCGCAAGGUUAAGACUCAAAUGAAUUGACGGGGACCCGCACAAGUAGUGAGCAUGUGGGUUUAAUUCGAAGAUACGCGCAGAACCUUACCAACACUUGACAUGUUCGUCGCGACUCUAGAGAUUAGAGUUUU
Molecule: ribosomal RNA, 915 nt
Filed under: uncultured marine bacterium
Lineage: Bacteria
Description: bacterial SSU rRNA
Rfam family: Bacterial small subunit ribosomal RNA
Source: RNAcentral